UCGAAACAAAGCAUACUCACACGAAAGCAAGUCCAGAGAUUACAACAAUCCAGAUAGAUUAAUACAGGUCCCAAUUAAGUUAUUACAAGCCAAGAGUUCAAAAGCAUAAAAGUAAAGUUUUCAAAGUUCAAAGUAGCGGAUAUAAAACAAUACAACUAACAAACAUACGGAAUAGCAUGGCGAAGCCAGCCAUGAUAUCAAUCACCACAUUCCUCACCAUCCUGGGUUCCACUCGAC
This 237-nucleotide long non-coding RNA is filed under the name Setaria viridis. Its description in RNAcentral is "long non-coding RNA (SVIR_LNC010708)". Lineage: Eukaryota; Viridiplantae; Streptophyta; Magnoliopsida; Poales; Poaceae. The record is from RNAcentral.